Long non-coding RNA from Carassius carassius (crucian carp), 1926 nucleotides. RefSeq lists it as uncharacterized. Lineage: Eukaryota; Metazoa; Chordata; Actinopteri; Cypriniformes; Cyprinidae. The record is from RefSeq and is a predicted model, not a curated record. The transcript has 3 exons.
CAGCGUUACUCUAAAACUGAUCUGACGAAAAGCUAUGAUCAGAAUGUGUGUGUUGUGUGGUUUAGUGAUCGUGCUGAUACCUGCCUUAGGUAAGACAUCAUUUAUAUUGUUUGAAUUGUUUCGAUUUCAAGUUCAAUCUUGUCUGUUAAGUGUGCUGUCUGUGUAAACUGGCUUCGUUUCAAAAGCAAAUGAGCAAACACGUGGUCUGACUACAUGCGCUAAAUCCUAUAAGAGCCAAAUAAAUGACUGAUGUGAUAGACUCCCAGUGAAAAGCGCUUGUCAUGUGAAGCGCAGGAGUUGAUUCUAAUCUUAACAUACAGUCAGGAGUGUUUCUAACUUGGCUAGUGUCCAUGUUGCCCACGUUUAACAGUCACAUGUGCAGCUACGCUAAUACUUAGCGCAUAUCAUUUUCUAUUAAAUAACACAUUUAACAAAAUUCCUUUAUCUUCAUCACUUCAUAAAAUAUUUUUUUUUGUCCAAGCUUGUUGCAUUGUUGGCUUGUUGGAUUAUUUUAUCUGUAAAGUAUUUGGCAAGAAGCUCGCUAGAUUUUGAGACAAGAUUUCUUCAUAAUCUGCCACUUCUUGAAGGGAAAACUGCAACGUUUAGGUCUAUUCUGAAUAUUUUUGUGUUAUAUUUAAUGAAGAAAUAUAACAUAAAAUAUAUUAUUUCAGUAACAAUGUAUUACAAAUAUAUUUAAAAAACUGGUCGGUGGCUGAUUAUUUGGAUUGAUAUUUGCCAUUUUGAGAUUAUGCAAAUAGAUUAUCAACCUUGUUGGCAAACUAACAGAUUUAUUAAUGCCAUUUUUUGUGCCAUCUUAUUGAAUCCAUUGCCACAGUUCUUCUGAAUGUGUCACUUUAAAUCUGUUAUUCACAUAUUGAGCAACUGAUCAUUUACAUACAGUUCAAAUAUUAAUUUUGUCAGGUUCCUGUGUACAAUAUGAGGUGGUGGAAGUAAUUGAGGGUGGAGAUGCUAUCCUAAACUUCACAGCUUCUGGAUUGACUAUUUUCUACAAAAUGCAUUGUGAAAAUUGGACUAAAAUCACUAAGAUUGGUCAAUACUGUGGCCCUGCUGAUAACUGCAGCAACAGCUCAACAACACCUGAAGUUUCAAUAGAGACUGGCCGUCUAAUUCUACAUAAUGUCACCUACAACAGAUGCUACAGUGCAAAAACCUUACAAGGACACAAAGAGGUAUUUUAUAAUGUUACUGUCAAAGAAUUACACUUUACCAUCAGCACAGAAAUGCCCAUCUUAAAAUUCACUACUGAAACACCCGACUAUACUUUAACCUCAGACAAUUUCUACAACAAUACAUCAUCCAAUGCAACCACCACACAUAUUGCUGCUGUUGUUGUUGCUGUGAUCUUGGUGCCCCUUGGUUUGUUCGUUAUCUGGUACAUAUAUGCACAGUAAGUAUUGUCACAAUAAUUCAACUGUUCUUAAUUUGACCUCUCAUUAAUAACUGUGUUCAGGUAAAGACUGUGUUAUUGCAUAUCAGAGCAAACAUUUUUCAGCAAUGUAAAUUCGAAGUCUAUUUUUAAAUCCAGGCAUAAAAGCAGUGCAUGGGCAAAGCACAACUUAAUUUGAAUUUAAAAGCCACACUUGCUAGUUUGUAGUUGGACAUUAUUAUUAUAUGGCUCAAAACGAAUUAUAGUAAUUCCUAAUUAAAUACUUUUUGUGCACUUUAAAGCCAGCAGAGGUACUUACCAGUGAACGCAAACGUUGCAGGGUGAUGCUGGCUAAAGUGUCUCAUGAAGAAAUCAUCAUGGGAAACCCAGCAGCAGCCAAUUCGCUUCUCACAACUGCGAACGAAACUCAACUCUAGAUGGCUGCUCCACCUCCAACUAGGCACUUUACUGAAGGAUCUCUACCUUGAAGGAUUGAAAUGAAGGUCAACAUGGGUCAAGAGACUAUUGAAGUAGUUCUG